AACGCACAUUGCGCCCGCCAGCAUUCUGGCGGGCAUGCCUGUUCGAGCGUCAUUUCAACCCUCGAGCUCCCCUUGGGGAGCCCGGCGUUGGGGACCGGCCGCUACCGCCGACCCCGAAAUACAGUGGCGGCCCCGUCACGGCGACCUCUGCGUAGUAAUCCAACCUCGCACCGGAAACCCGACCUGGCCACGCCGUAAAACACCCCACUUCUGAACGUUGACCUCGGAUCAGGUAGGAAUACCCGCUGAACUUAA
This 255-nucleotide unclassified non-coding RNA is filed under the name uncultured fungus. Its description in RNAcentral is "sequence contains ITS2". The record is from RNAcentral. Lineage: Eukaryota; Fungi.